GAUCAGUGGGUCUUAGUUUGAAAUAGAGUUGAAGCUGCGGACACAAAAACUAAUGUCAAAAAAGAUGAAGACAGUUGCUCCUACCACAAAAUGCAACUUCCAGAAAGAUAUGAUAGUGAUUGCCGUUCUCAUACUACUUCAAUCUCUAAAUCAACGCUAGUCGAACACACACACACACACACACACACCUAAAUAAUACAAGCAUAUGGUUUGUACCGAAGUAAAAGAAAAGCAUAUGAAAAUAACCUCUGAACAACCUACUCAGAUAGUUUAAUCAGCUUACUGUGAACAUAUUUGUGUCAGGGUCCCAGUGAGUGAAAAACUUAUUUGAGAUUUUAUCAAUUUCAAAGCUAGGGACCUGCGGAUAAAUUUGAAAAUGUUAGAUGGCAAUUUUGAUGCGAAGUACAGAUCUCAUGGCUUUUAGAUUUUGGCUAAUACGAAACAAGCCUACUCAGUUUUCUCAACUUUUAUAUGUUACAAUGACGCUUGCUUUACAUUCAAAGGUAAACAUUAACAACACUUUAUUUUAAUCUAUCUUAUUUUAUUUUAUCUUAUUUUAUUUUAUCAAAGAAGAAAUAGAAAUAAACACGAGCUCAACGCAUGCAGUCAUUUUCAUUGACCUUGAAAGCAAUAAUUUCAUAAGGUUCUGAAGCAAAAAGGAGAUAUUGGUAGCGCUUGUCCCAAGCCUGUACCCUCUACAUUCACAAACGAUGACAGAGCUCAAGGACAGUUUCUUCUGCAGUACCAAGCAAAGUACAACACACGUGCACUUCAGUCCUAAAAUCUAUAUCCACCUUAUCAACGUCCAACAGCAUCAUUAUUUCCACCACUAAGGAAACAGGUCUAAUAAUGCUUAUUUGUUUUCACAUAAAAACCAAAAUAUUUGCUUUAUUGAAAUACAACUAUCACUAUCCAUUCAAACCAGAGUUUUCAAGGAUAAAUAAUACUGAAACUUACCUG
This 960-nucleotide long non-coding RNA is filed under the name Physcomitrium patens. Its description in RNAcentral is "long non-coding RNA (PPAT_LNC005907)". The record is from RNAcentral. Lineage: Eukaryota; Viridiplantae; Streptophyta; Bryopsida; Funariales; Funariaceae.